GGUUACUUCAUCAGUUCCUGGGUGUUGAUCGGCAGGAAACAGUGGUUUCCUGUUCAUAUCCUGCCUGAGCCUGGGCCGGGUGGAGGUGUCCUGCAUGGAGUCUUGUGAAAUCGCGUGGACUGCAACACCCAGCAGCGCGCCGCCCUGGGUCCUGCCACUGAGCAGCUGUUGGUAGGCUCUGCUGUGAGGUCUCCUCUUCCGGCUUUCCCACUUCCCAAGGUUAGGUUGGCCCAUGGGCUGGAGCGUCUGCGUCUUGGUCGGCCCGGCAGUGUACAUGUCAAGCAGCGCGCAAAGACUCCACAGCCAUUCGUAGGCACUGCUGGCCUCAUGCUCCAGACAGCCCUGGGACAAUGGGCCACCAAGGGAAAUCAAUGAUUGCGUGGGCGCAGGUGACCUCCAGCCUGCUUCAGGGCCACCCUUGUUCCCCAUGCCAACUCCCUCCUUCCUAUGGGCUCCCAAGAAAUGGGUGGCAGAGACCAGCCUGGUGAUUUACCUCCUGCCUUUCCGUGACUUCCUCCCAGUCCUGUGCAUCUCAUGUUUAAUUAUGAGGCUGUGGAAGGUGGUGAUAUUAAUUAUAGGGCUGAGGUUGUGUUACUUGGAGAAAGUCAGUGCACAUGUCAUUUGAUUUUCCUCAAGAAGGAAAACUGUAUUUUUUCCGAUCUCAAAAAUAAUUCCAGGGAAAUAAAUGUGUACAAUCACACUUUGGGGUUUAAAACUAACGAGUUUCAGUUUUAAAACAUGUUAAAAACCUUUCUAUUUGGAGAAAGCUGGAAGAAUCCACUUUGGGGAUCUGGCGGUUCUCAGGAGCUGUAUUACCUCGGGAUGGUCUCACUGGUUGGUAGCAGCUUUUGUAUGAGGAGGGGCAUGGGGUCCCGACUUAGGCAGAGAAGGCUUUGCUGAAGAGGUGCAAAGCCCAGCUUAGGGCUGGGUUUUCUACAGACCAGGAACAAAAGCAUUGCUUGGCAAGAUUUCUUCUCUGCUCAGAGAAAACACGCAGAUUCCAAAGAGUGAGAUGGAGAGAAUUUGACAUGUCUUGGUUUGAAAAUAAGUCAAAAGAAGUCUAAUAUUAACAAUAGCAAUAAUAAUAACAACCAUUAAUUGUGCCUGCGUUAGGUACCAGGCCCUAUUCUAAGUGUUGUGAGUGCCCUCUGUCAUUUAAUCUCCACGGAGUCCUGAAGGUGCUUCCCAGGUUUGUCCCCAUCACACAGAUGAGGCAAUCGUUCUGUUAAGACUGUCCUUGGGUCAUUAUGUCAGCAAUGAAAUCGGUGCUGCCAUUACUAAA
Molecule: long non-coding RNA, 1282 nt
Organism: Homo sapiens (human)
Lineage: Eukaryota; Metazoa; Chordata; Mammalia; Primates; Hominidae
Product: long intergenic non-protein coding RNA 2910
Source: Ensembl